CCUGCGGCUGGAGGUGCGUAACUGAUGCGCACCGAUUCUUCCCGCACAGCGAUCGACCAGGCGGCGCUUGGUGCUGGGACCCCGGCGGUGGCGGCGGCGGCGCGAGCGCGCGGCCCAGGGCCCGGCGAAGGCGGGGUGUCUUGUACGAAGCAACGCGCAGAGCUCUUUGCGUGCCGCGUUUAAAUCUUGCGAUGCUAUCUGCUGUCAUCGGAUGGAGAGGACGUAAUUCAGCCGCUCGGGCUGAUACAAGUCGAACUCAGAAGUCGUUUGCAAGGUAGUUGAGGAAGGGAGCCGGGGAGCUGGAGAUGCUGAUUUGCAAACUUAUGAACUGGAAAGCUAACAUGUAAAGCAAAAAAAACCCCCMCMCAACMCCCCCCCCCCCCCAAAACAAAACAAAAAAAGCAGAACAAAAGCACAGCUCUGAUUACGGAGCCAGCGCCGCCUCUGCUGCAGGCCGAGCGCGUUGGUCACCUUGGCAGCUGUUGGGAGCUGAGCUGCGGACGUGGCUUUCCCACCCCGCAAGGCGCAAGGUCAAGCCGUUCUGCACGGGGCAGCUCCGGGCACGUCCGGCAGCGCCCGGCCGGGGGCCGCCAGCCUCCCGGGCCAUGAGGAGGGGGCGUCUCGUCCUCCCUGAUUCUUUCCCCUCGCUACGGCAAACGAAGGCUGACGCUGGUUCCUCUGCCGCUAACGGGGCCGCGCAGCGUUUUAUAUUUGCCCUGGGGAAAGGGGGAAAGGCUCCAGCAGCUCGGGCACCUGCUUGGCCCCUUGGCUCACGCAGGUACGAGCAGCUCUCACGGCGUUUCCUGCCCGCGUUUCGUUAAAGGUGGCACAUUACUGCAGGGUUUUAGUUUUGGUUUUGAUGAACUUUUAUUUUCGAAAAAAAGAAAAAAGAAAAGAAAGACCAAGACAACGAGCGCUGUUGGAGCUGCCUGACCCUGGGCACGCGCAGGCGUCCCGCCGCCGGGGAGCUGGUCAAGCCUGCAGCGCCGUGCCGGAGGGGGCCGGGAAGAGCCUGGAGAAGACCGAGCUGCCACCGCCGUUUUCCAGGGAAGGGCUAAGCCCUCUGGUGAGGCUCUGGGCUGAAGCGAGCGCUGGGGGAGAUGCAGGAGGCCCCUGCCCGGUGGAAGAUGUUCCUUUUCCCUUCCUGCCCGCCGGUGACGCUAUGCAGCGCCGCUCUGUUUGCAGCGCGCCUUUCAGGCGAGCGCUGUGUUUUGCUGGGCUGAGCAGCUCAAGAAAAUAG
Long non-coding RNA from Apteryx rowi (Okarito brown kiwi), 1240 nucleotides. The record is from Ensembl. Lineage: Eukaryota; Metazoa; Chordata; Aves; Apterygiformes; Apterygidae.